Molecule: long non-coding RNA, 499 nt
Filed under: Musa acuminata (dwarf banana)
Lineage: Eukaryota; Viridiplantae; Streptophyta; Magnoliopsida; Zingiberales; Musaceae
Description: long non-coding RNA (MACU_LNC011615)
Source: RNAcentral
CGAUAAGAGGGUAAGUAUGGAGUGAGUUUCCGUUAAGGGAGGUAAGUAGUUCGUUUUGAAGCAAAGGAAGAUCGAGUAUAGAGAUUUGAUAUAAGAAUAAGGGGAUUGAUCGGCGCUAACGGGAAGGAGGGCAGCCUCAAUUCCAUUCUUUAGCGCUGGCAGGGGAGGAGGAAAUCUUAUUGUUUCGUUUUUCGGGGUUCCACUAUCCGCUUUCGGGGCGCAAAUUAGCAAGUUCUUAGGCUCCAAGUGUCGAGUAACCAAGGGCUAAUAGUUAGGUUAUUGAGUUCGGGGUGCCCAGCUUAGCUAGUUUAGGUUAGCGAGUGGAAUGUAGUUUGUCUGAGUGCUUAUUGAGCUUUCGUUGUGCUUGUUGAGUGAGCAGGAAACAGUUACUCACUUAUAUAUUCCGCGAACAGACUGUUGUGCUAAGGCUUAUUCUCUCUCAGUAGGUUGGUUUCGGGGUGCCAAGCCCAUAUUAGCUUUGAAGCAAAAGAAAGAGAAG